CGGCAGCGCGGGUGCUUGCACCUGGCGGCGAGUGGCGAACGGGUGAGUAAUACAUCGGAACGUGCCCUAGAGUGGGGGAUAACUAGUCGAAAGAUUAGCUAAUACCGCAUACGAUCUACGGAUGAAAGUGGGGGACCGCAAGGCCUCAUGCUCCUGGAGCGGCCGAUGUCUGAUUAGCUAGUUGGUGGGGUAAUAGCCUACCAAGGCGACGAUCAGUAGCUGGUCUGAGAGGACGACCAGCCACACUGGGACUGAGACACGGCCCAGACUCCUACGGGAGGCAGCAGUGGGGAAUUUUGGACAAUGGGGGAAACCCUGAUCCAGCAAUGCCGCGUGUGUGAAGAAGGCCUUCGGGUUGUAAAGCACUUUUGUCAGGAACGAAACGGUGAGGGUUAAUACCUCUUGCUAAUGACGGUACCUGAAGAAUAAGCACCGGCUAACUACGUGCCAGCAGCCGCGGUAAUACGUAGGGUGCAAGCGUUAAUCGGAAUUACUGGGCGUAAAGCGUGCG
This 511-nucleotide ribosomal RNA is filed under the name uncultured beta proteobacterium. RNAcentral describes it as "bacterial SSU rRNA". It matches the Rfam family "Bacterial small subunit ribosomal RNA", at positions 67 to 571 of the family's 1533-position model. The record is from RNAcentral. Lineage: Bacteria; Pseudomonadati; Pseudomonadota; Betaproteobacteria.